Ribosomal RNA from Clostridiales bacterium CHKCI006, 109 nucleotides. NCBI's taxonomy places the organism in Bacteria, Bacillati, Bacillota, Clostridia, Eubacteriales. The record is from Rfam.
UCUGGUAGUGAUAGCAUGAUGGACACACCUGUUCCCAUCCCGAACACAGAAGUUAAGCAUCAUCACGGCGACAAUAGUGCUACGGUGCGAAGAUAGCUAGCUGCCAGGU